UCUACGGCCAUACCACCCUGAACAUGCCUGAUCUCAUCUGAUCUCAGAAGCUUAACAGGGUGGGCCCUAGUUAGUACUUGGAUGGGAGAAACAUAAUUGAGUCUUCAGAA
Molecule: ribosomal RNA, 110 nt
Filed under: Propithecus coquereli (Coquerel's sifaka)
Lineage: Eukaryota; Metazoa; Chordata; Mammalia; Primates; Indriidae
Source: RNAcentral